This is an RNA transcript of Anopheles gambiae (African malaria mosquito), 11792 nucleotides long. It is a transcript of the gene named nucleolysin TIAR, with no coding region annotated. Lineage: Eukaryota; Metazoa; Arthropoda; Insecta; Diptera; Culicidae. The transcript has 10 exons. The record is from RefSeq and is a predicted model, not a curated record.
UUUGUCUGCUUGGUCCUGGCACGAGCCUGCCAGUUAGAGCUGUGUCCGCCUUACGGUUAGUACGAUUUAGUUAGGAUCCUUGUGUGCUUUGUGGCUAUUAUGGUAUAGUUCCUUGUCCGAUUGAUCAUUCAUGCCGACGCGGUGCCGCAGCUAAACAGCUAAAACCAACUCUAAACACACACAUACACAACACGACCUGGACACACAGAUACAUAAGAUAAGCAAAAAUCUCCAAGCAUCCCAUGCACUACACCAGCAGCAGCAGUAGUCGACGCGUGUAACAGAGAAGAAGAAGAAGAAGAAGAGGAGAAGGAAAAACCUAUUUAAAAGAAAAACCCAGAGGACCACAACCGCUAUUGCAUAAAGCGAAAGUAUCGUAGCUGUUUUAUAUUGACAUUUUACAAAAGAAAAGGAAAACUCUGCAUAACCGCUAAAGGAAGCGACGAACCCCAAACUCGCGCAAAAAAAAACAAAAGAACGAAGCAAAAAAAAAAAACAAAAACCCCACAACACUCCUUCGCAAGAGCCUGAGACUGAGCGACGACAACGACAGCAAGGUGGUGGUGGUGUGUGAUAGGCAGCAGCUGCUCAACGUUUGCCAAAUUCUGUCCCCGUCACCAGAGCUGUCAGUGCUGGGGUACCGGUACGUACAGGGGGCAGGCACGACGAUGCUGGCCAUGUCGACGCUGAUGAUGCCGGCACCGACGAUGGCGCUCGGCGCGCCGCAGCUGGCGGUCGGCCCGCACCAGAAGCCGCCGGAAGCGAAGCUGCUCGCCAUCCAUCCGGCCCACACGCAAACGCAAACCACUCCCCAGCAUCAGCUGCAGGCGCAACAGCAGCAGCAGCAGCAGCAGGCGCAACAGCAGCAGCAGGUGGCGGCGCAGCAGCAGCAAGUGGCGGCGCAACAGCAUCAGCAGCAGCUUCAGCAACUGUCUGCAAUUAAGCAAGAGCAUUACCACAUAUUCGUGGGUGAUUUGAGCCCGGAAAUCGAAACGCAAACCCUGAAGGAAGCAUUCGCCCCGUUCGGAGACAUAUCUGAUUGUCGCGUUGUUAGGGACCCUCAAACAUUAAAAUCAAAAGGAUACGGAUUUGUUUCGUUCGUAAAGAAAACGGAAGCGGAAAAUGCAAUUGCGGCUAUGAAUGGGCAAUGGCUUGGUUCGAGGAGUAUUCGAACUAAUUGGGCAACUAGGAAACCCCCUGCAAGCAAAAACGAAAUCAACGCAAAGCCACUGACAUUCGAUGAGGUGUACAAUCAAAGCAGCCCGACCAACUGCACCGUCUACUGUGGUGGGAUCGGUGGCACACUGGCGGGUGGAUUGAAUGAGGACAUUUUGCAGAAAACCUUCUCACCGUUCGGCACCAUACAGGAGAUCCGGGUGUUCAAGGACAAGGGCUACGCAUUCGUAAGGUUCUCCACGAAGGAGGCGGCCACUCACGCCAUCGUUGCGGUGCACAACUCCGAAAUCAAUUCCCAAACGGUCAAAUGCUCGUGGGGCAAGGAGAGCGGCGAUCCGAACAAUGCGCCCUCGCUGGCCAGUCAAGCGCUCAGCCAGACCGGCUUCCCGUUCAACACGGCGUACGGCCAGCAGGUAGCUGGGUACUGGUAUCCGCCGGCUCCCGCCUACCCAGCAACGCCGGCACCGGCUGCCACACCGCUGCAGGGCCAGUUCCUGCAAGGAAUGCAGGGCUACACGUACGGCCAGUUUGCCGGAUACCAGCAAGGAUACAUGGGCAUGGGCAUGCAGAUUCCCGGAGCCUGGCCAGCCGUACCGGCACAGGCGCAACUGCCGACUGCCGCCCAGCAGAUCACGGCCCAGAGCGUUGGCGGAGCGCUGCCCCAGACGGCCGGGGUCGUCGCCUACCCGAUGCAGCAGUUCCAGCCGGGCUUAUUGCACCCAGCGUACGCUAAAACUGUCUAGAAUGCUUUUUGCCAUUGUUGCAAAUCCACGCGAGACCCCUAUCCUAUCGCCGUCUAUCCUCUCGUUGCCAUGCGGGUGCGUACAAGUACGCAUCGUAAACAAGAAAACAAAAGUUGACUUUUUCUUUAGUAACUAUGCUUUCCAUUCCGUUUCGUAGCUCACACCGUUAGCUGAAGACGAAUGGUUAGCGCCAAGUCUUCUAGUGUAGCUUCCCUGAUGGCCAUCACUGUGCGGCUGUGUCUCACAGCGUAAUUAGAAUGCAGAGGGAGAGGGAGAGAGAGAGUGGAAAAGAAAGUAUUUGAAGAUUUUUCAAAACCAACAAAACAAAUCAGCCUGUUCAUCUAACUAUGUACACACACUCACACGUACGCACUCAAACACAAACACACACAACUCUACAGACAAGCGAAUACGAUUCCGGUGGUACAAACGAAAAAAAAAAAAACAACAAACAAACAAACACAUAAAACGCGAAGCAUCUAUAUAUGCACAAGCGUGCGGCCAUCCGCAUGGUUGUGAUGAACUAGCAAAUGAAACGAUGUGAGACCAGAACAACAGCAACAGAACAACAGACAUACAAAAAUGUAGAAAAAAAAAAACAAACAAAAAAAAGGAAAAAUUAAACUAAAAUAAAAUGCAAAAAAAAUUAUAACAUCCCCUUACUACUGUAGUUAUGACAGUGGUUGCUGAAAACUAUUUCAAAACAGACCGUGCAAGACGGCGGGAUUGCGAAGAAAAAGGAGCAAACAGAAGGGGAAAACAGUUGAGCUACUACAGGCUGAUAGUUAGCAAACGUCAUCACUUAAUCCAAUCAUCUAUCCAACAGAAGAAACAAACAACCCGGUAGCAUAGACAGACAGACAGACAGGCAGAAGCGCAUGAGUGCGCGUAUAUAUAUAUAUAAAAAUAUAUAUUGAGCAAAAAACCAUGAUAGGCAUAUGUGUGGGAACAUGGACGGAUGGGGGGAGGGCGGCCGGCGCAGAAAGACGAAGAAAGCACUAACAAUUUUACUCCUGAUAUUUUUCAUGAUAGAUAGUACUCAUUAAAUGAAACCACACGCAACGCUCCAGACACAGCAACCGGGUGUGUGGCACACUUAGGGCAUUUACAUGGCGAAACUGAUUUUUACAGCCAAGCGCAGGUGGUGCAAAACUACGUAGAACAAAACAAAACAUAAACAGAAACAAUGAAGAGUGAAAAAGCAAAACGAAAACACACGACACCCCCCUCCCGCCUCCUCUCUUCCCUACAACACCCCCGUUACAUCGGGUGGGGGUGUGCGGGAAAUGGGGCGGGUGUGUGUGUGUGUGUGUGUGUGCGUGGUGCCGACAGCAGAAACACUUUGUGAAAACAAUAAUGAUUCGUCCAACGCUAAACGCUAAACUUACCGGUUGACAGACAUGACCAGAGAUAGAGAGAGAAAGAGAGAGAGAGAGAGAGAGAAAAGGGAAAAAGAGAGAAGUAGAAUUUAUCGCACUAGCGGGACCCGGUGGUACCGGAUGGUUUUGAGAUGUAACAACAAUGACUUGGUAGGCUUUAGGUUUCAGGCAGACAGGCAUUUCUUUUCUUCUUUUCAUCUUCUUCUUCUUCUUGUUUGAUCAUUUCUCAGUAUCAUUUAUCGCUUACGCGCGCGCAGCGCGAGCGAAGGAACGAACCCAGUGGCAGUUGCAAACAGGCAAGACUGAGGAAGUACAACCAAUGCAGGAGUUGUCGCGGAUGCAGAUUUCGGCCUCUCCGCCGCUCUUCGUUAGAACAUUGGUGCGAUGUAUGGGCACCUUUUGCAGUAUUGCCGAACCAGAACUUCCACUUGCACUUAGCGCCAAAACGGUUGGCAAAGUUUGCUGCCUGGGUUUGCGUAUCAUAACCGAUGUUUAUGUUCCAUUUUAAGGCUGUUUAUUUUGUCUCGUAAUUGAGUGACUGUUGUAAUGUAUUGCAUUUUGUAGGGUUUUUCAUAUUACAGCAGAUGUAUUUCCUCCUCUUUUUUUGCAGAUUUUUGUAUCAUAUUUGGAGCGUGUUUUUGUUGUUGUGUUAGAUCACUGACAAACUGGCUUUUUUAAAUGUGUAGUGUAAAACUGUUAUACUGUAUGCAAACUACUAAUGCUCUCUGCCAAUAAGAAAUCGUAUUACUCGUGUUUUUGUUUUUCCUUUUUUGUUUCGUUUUUACCGCACACUUACGGACCGUUGUGUGCCGUCGCGUGUGACUUUUGUGCAUACACUCUAGUGUUGUUGUACUGUUGUCCUUAGGUUUUGCCCUUCAAUUCAUUUGAUAUAUAUACAUAUAGUUAUCUGUUUUAUUGACAACCCCAAACGCGUCGUUCCGGUAGUUCCGGAUUUGCACGGAAAACCUGGACACUGCGCGAACACAAAAACACGUAUGUGUAAUGUAUGCGGAAUGGUAUUAACAAAAAUUCCAAAACUGCUAUAUAUAUUUUUUAUUAUUUUACCAAUUUUUGCGAAUAUACAAUGUUUUAUAUAAGAGGAAAAAACUCGAAGGAGAAGCAAAAUGAAUAUAAAAAUAAAUAAAAAAAAAACAUUUGUUUAGACCAAAUAUUUUUAAAAUAAAUGAAAGAAAACAACAGUGUCAAUACAAUCAAAAUUGCAUAGAGAACAAAACGAAGUGGAAGAAGAAGAAGAAGAAGAAAGAGAAGCAGAAGUAAAAAUACAUUCAUUUGAAAACCAUUGUGAUGAAAACUAUAACACAACAAAAUAAACAUUAAACCAACAUUGAUCCAUUGAACAGGAAGGCAAAGCGUAGCAAGAAGGGUAGCAAGUUAGAGAGAACUACUAGGGAAAAGUAAUCCAAGAUGAACAUUCAAUGAUGUUUACUCAAACGAAGAAGAGGAUGAAACGACACUGGAAUGAUAAAUUAUAUUGACGACUAAAGAAAACAAUACAUAUAUAUAUAUAUAUGAAAGUAAAUAAAUAAAUAUAUAUAAUUAUAUAUAUAUUAUAUAUAUAGAGGAGCAUCAUGAAGCUCUAGAAUUAAACAUACACUUAUACAUAUACACAAAAUAGAUAGGAGAUAUUUAAUUAACUGUGAACAAUUUACCAAACAACAACAGCAACAUAAACAGCAAACAAAACAAACAAAAAAGGUGGAGCUCUAUAUAUUGAAAUCGUAUUUGGCUCUAGACAAACAAACCUAGAUAAAUAUGAUGGUUUUUUGAAAUGGGAAACACACACACAUACGCGGAAACUAAAUAACGGCAAAACAUCUUUACACAUGAACAAACGCAUAGGAUUACAUAGAGGAAACAGAAACAAAGGAAAAACUUUCAAAACCAAACUCUUCUAAAAAGCUGCAAACGAACCCGUUUGAAAUGUUGUAUUGUCUUGAGUACAGAAAGAAAGAAAAAAAACACACACACACACACACACAACAGCACACAUACAGACGCGUACACAUGUAUUGAAGUAAAUUACAACUCGCAAUUGAAUAAAGAGUUAGUGAAUAGUGUUAAAAUAACGGGGUUUAAACCUAGAACAAACGCGUAAAAUUAAGCAAAAACACACAGUAAGAGUAAACACAGCAGUAAAAAAGAAACCGAAACUCAAUCAAAAGCAAAGCAAGAAGAAAAAAGCACAUACAAACACAUCUAAUAAAUUCACAAUUACAGAAGAAGAAACAAGAAACCAAUCAAAGAGCAAAAGAGCAAAUAACAAACAUGAAGCAAUUAUUCAAAAACCUAGCGCGCAGCUAACCCGACAGCAGCAAACCGUUGGAGCGCAAUUUAUUAAAGCAAAAGCAACUUUAAAAGGUAUUGGAAAUUGGAUAGAAGCAAUGGCAGAGGAGGGAAAGCAAUUGGUGCAAUGAAAGAUGAAGGAAUGUAGAGGAGGACAGAAUGAGUGAGUCAUUCGAAAAAUCAUUUUAUCGACUCCUCGGUCCCCGAUUCUCUCUGCCACCAUCCCUUUUUCCCGAUGUGAUGUUGUCGUUGCGGGAAGGAAGGUGGAAAACAACGGUGCGGCAAACUAACCCAGCGCGGGAGAGGACUGCCGCACUGGUAAAUGUCUUGUACAUUGUAGAUGCACAUCAUUUUAAUGUAUUUCGUUUCGAGAGCGAACCCAUUUUUGCUUGGUAACGUACUACUGUAUUUGAUUUCUUAGGGCGUUGCUUUGGACCAACUGUAUCACACAGUUGCCGUUAGAAUAUGAGUUGGGAAACAUGUUUGAUUUGUUUGAAUGUGCCGAUGGUUGAUACAUCAAUUUCUACUCUAGCAAUUUAACCAAAACGAAACAAAACAAACCAAACCAGUGACCAGUGUAGUAGCAAUUUUCAUUGUGACGACGGUGGCAAGGAUGAAAAACCAAAACACAAGAUGGUAGUGACAGUAAUGGUGUAUGAACUAUACAGAGAGAGAGAGAGAGAGAGAAACAAAAAGAGAACAGAAAGAGAAAAGAAAGCGCAGAAAAUAGUAAUGCAAAGCAAACAAGUCUUCUUACUAUUGGACGAGAUCCCUAAGACACAUUAGAGGAGAUUCCCAUAUCUCGUAUAUUAAAAUAAUAUAUUUACAUAUAUAUACACACACAAACACACGCACAGACACACCCACACACACACACGUACACACAUGGAGUCCCUAUGACAAAAAAAACACACACACACACGGAAAUAAGACGGAAAAUGGAAGAAAAAGGUGUUUGUUACUUUAUUUACAACGUAUUUGAACGACGUAUUUGAUUGUAUUUCAGUUGGUGUGUAGUAGCCCUUUUUGGAGGAUGGUUUUGAGUUUUAGAUAAACAUAUAUACAUACAUAUAUUGCGUAUAGUUUGGUAAACCUACCUUCAGCCAAAACGACGCGAGUACGCGAGAGAAACGUAGCACAGCCGUGCAGAAUCUUAAACAACCUUUAACAAUUUAAUCAUUAACGAACCGAACAGAACAGACUUUCUCGGUAGGCUAGACUUUCUACAAACACUAAUAAAAAAAAAAGAGGCGGACGCGCCAGACCAGACUAAGGGCAUUAAUGAAGCAGGUGUAGCAGCAACCAUCUGUUAAACACUGCAACGCUGCAACACACAGCACUAAAAUAAAGCACCACAAGCGAGGGAUUAGGAAAGUAAAACAGGAAGGAUGGAAGAAACGCAACAACAUAAGUAAAUAAGAUACUAAUCAAUUAAACCUUACCAUUUAAAGCAACAGAAACUAACAGAAUAAAAAAGAAAUCCAAAUUAAUAAAGAAACAAGCAAACAAAACCCACACAUACACACAAACACAGCAACAAACAAACGAACAAAGUCAACAGAAACAACAACCAUUUAUAUAGCGAUUAAAAUAAGGAUGGAGAGUGAGCCAAGCUAAAGCUCCCAUAGAACCACACACAGACAAAAAAAACACAUAGAAAACAAGUUUACCAGUGCGAAUUAUUAGAUAGGUAUUGGAAUCUUUCAAUGAAGUAAAAUCAAACGAGAACCUACAAGAAGUAGCAAGAGAGAUAAAACUAAACCACUAAAAACAUAAACAAAUACACACACACACAUAUACACAUAUACAACAAGCACCAUACAACAAUCGAGCAAAAUCGAAACAAUUGAAACAUGAAUCAAAUGUAUUAAUUUGGCCUUUCUUCCCAUAACUCAUCAGCCAAGCCCCUUCCCCCCAGUUUUUACGCGUGUGUGUGUGUGUGUGAUGCAGAACAAUCUUUAGUAAUGUAUUUGCGAAAACAAAAGCCACAAUAGAGUACCGGAUCCAUACACCAGGAGCAAAUGAAUAUUUAAAUUACAAAACUCAGCAGCACACAAAAAACACACACAUACACACAAAACAAAGAAGCAAGCUAAGAAAUGUACUAAAAACUAUUGACAGAAACUCUAAUUAAAUGCAAAAAAAUAAUACAAGUUUGGGUUGUGAUGGAAUCGACGACACUCAUGCACCGAGAAACAUGGAGAAGAAAAGGUGGCCAAUGAGGAGAAUCAACAAAGGGGGAAAAAGGGAAUGCACGUGCGAGAGUGUAUAAAUAUGUAAAACACAAUACACGGAUUUGUUGAUUGCGGACAGUAGAGUAGUAGCCGCUGCUAACAAACUAACCAGAGCGCGGACGACGUCCCAGGAACGUUCUUAAAAGAUAGAAAGGUCUAUUUUUAGUGCAUAUUGUAGCUGAUGAUUUGAGUAUUAAACUGAACCGAACCAAUAGGAACGUUUUCUUUUCUGUCUGUCAGUCUCUCGCAACUCUCUCUCUCUCUCUCUCUCUCUCUUUCGCUUUCUUAGUGGGGGCUAGCGGGAGUAUGUCUUUGAGAAGAGAGAGAGAGAUAGAGAGGGAGAGAGAGAGAGAGAAAGAGAGAGAGAGAGAUAGAGAGAGAGAAAGGAUGGGUGCUUGAUAGCAACCGGAACCGGAGUGAAGACACUUUUUCAUAGCAAGCAAAGCAAACCAAUUAGAUAGCAAUAGGAAAAUUCUACCGUCGGGCAAUAUAUAUAUACACAUGUGGCAAGCGUUUGUCGGAUGAUGUGAAUGAAUUGAUUUACCGCAAACACUUUACUAAAACAACCUUAACCUUAACCAGCAAAACUAAGCAACAGAAGAAUGGCAAUCGAUAUUAAAAUGCAAGAUGGAGCAGAACCACUGUGUUACCAGUUACUAUAAUACGGGAGACAUAGCAGAAAGGGAAGGAAUAGGGAAGGAAGGCUUUCAUGGUAGCGAAGCACAACACUGCAAUUAAGCGACUACUACUACUACUACUCCUACUACUACUAAUACUACAGCUACUACUACACCUACUAUUAAGCAAUCUACACAAACACGCACACAGACACAACACAACAACAGAAAGAGCAACAGAAGUAAACCCAACUAAUCCUACCAUCUAAGAACUUCUCUACCAAGCUACUGUAAGUAUUUACUGAAGAAAAACAAACAAACAAACUCUAUCCAACAUAAACGUCAAACAAAGACAAACACACACAAACACACACGAACACACUGCUAGUGAUUACUGAAUACUAUUAACGAUUCCGAUGCCUACCUCUGACGGGAGGAGGGAAGCACACCACCACGUGGAACUGAACUACUGUGAUUUCCUUUUGUUUUCUGCUUAACAAAAACAAAAACAAAACAAAAACGAUUUUUCCCCCCGUUUUGGACCCCUUAUACUCUACUGAUAGCUCCCGAGAGCCAACUCUCUCCCCCCCAUCUAGGUUGUUUGUUCAACAUUGCUCAGCUCGAUGAUGAUAGCUCGUUGAUUGUUUAAAACCACUUCGUUGUUGAGUUCGUUAUUUAGAAAAAUUGAAUUGACUUUCGUGUGAGACAAGCAAAGUGCAGGAGAAAAACAGAAACAAGAAACAAGCGAAUCUAUUUCACUGGAGGAAGAAGAAGGCAAGAAAGGUAGGGAGCCAGCUAAUCCAGCUAAGCAAGCGGCACAAGCCAUGGUUAAGCGUGUGGUUCGGGUAUUACGCUGAUAUUAUUAAGGUAUAUUAAAUAAGGCCGCCAUUCAUCACCACUAUCCCGGGUGCAAGCGGGCAAAACACAGUUGUGUGCAAAUUGUUGUGUUGGAUCGACGUGGAAAAGAGAGACAAAAAAAACAAAACAAAACUAAACUAUAUGAAAAGCAACGAUCUCGGUUAGUUUUUAAUCGGCAAAGCAAGCGUGCAAUUACAGUAGAGAAUUUAUUGAACUUAGUAAACCAACCAGACCGCCACACCGGACAGACACGCACGGAUAUGGGGAUGGGAGCGAGCGACGCAUUCGUUCGCGUAGGGUGGAAAUCAUAUGCCAAGCUUUUGAUACACUUCACCUCACACUCGGUUUGGGUUUGUGGGUUCUAUCAGACAGGACAUACACCGGACAUGCACAUGUGCUCCCCAUAGUUGUCGCCGUCGUCGUCGUCUUCGUGCUCGGUUUUGAGUGCUAUUGAAUUUAAUGGCGAACUGCCAAAUGAUCACGAAACACUAAACAGCAUUAAGAAAGUAAGAAGAGAAAGAAGAAGAAGAAAAACAAGAGCUAUGUGAAACCAGAAACAAAAUAAGAAGGGGAGGGUUGAAACCAGAGUGUCGAAGAAUUAUUAAGUAUUACAUUAAGGAAAACAAUGAAACAAACAAAAACCAACACAAAAAAAAACACACACACUUGUAAUCGCAAUUGAAUGAGGAAAGCUAUUUGUAAGGUACACAAAAAAGAAGACAAAAGAAUACAUAAUACAUGCCACUACAACACACGAACAUUAUUAUUAAAUAUUGACAAAACAAGAAGCAAGAAAAGAAAAAAAACACAAACAAACAAACAAAUCAAACAUAUUAUAUUUAUAAAUGGAACGAAACAAUGAACUGUUUGUAAAACACACACAUACAUAUUUGCUGCUAUAAUAAUGGUUUGAAAGAAGAAGAAAGGGCAAGGGCAAAUCGUAGCAUAAGUGCGAGGAAACAUGAGAAUGUUCAGUGCGCAAGUUUCUGCGUUAAUACUUUAAAAUGCAAUUUCGGGGUAAGUUGGAAAGUGAAUUAGGAUAUGGAUAAAGAAGGAAAAAAACAUCACAGAACACACAUACAAACACAUACAAAACCAAAAGCACAUCGUCUCCGCAAGACAUUUAAAUGAGCAAACGGAUUGAGGUGUGUUGCACUUACUCUCAUCCCUACUUUGGAGGACUGAACCAAGUCGAAAGGAAGCGAAACAAUGAAACUAACAUGUUAAAUGCAAUAAGGUAAAACAAAAAAAACAGUGGGAAAAAUAUAAUACACACAAAGAACAACACUUACACAGGCUAAGGGUAUAAAAUGUAAGCGAAACAUUCAUAAAAUCAAGAGAAAGCUCCACCAUUGCAACAACCGAAAUACAGACACACAUAAAUACACAACAUAAACAACACAUGUUAGCACAUUAUAGAUGUAGACGCACAUAUGAAUUAAAAAAAAAACAAAUAAAAGGAGAAUAAAAAAAGACAAGAAACACACACCCCCCAAAAAUGUGUAUCAUUGCAUUGAGAUAAACAUGUAGCCCCAUGCUUAAACCGGUGAUAGUUUACUUGACGCUGCGUCCUAUAGGAAUUGGAAACAGAUGAAUUAAACUACCGCCAUCAAAUCAGAUACAAAAAAUAAACACAUAUUUAAUGAUUUACCCCACAAUUGAAUACAACAAAAUACAUUAUUUUAAACAUUUUAGUUAAACACCUCGCAACAUUGGAGUGAUUUGGCUGAUAAUUGGUUCGUUUUUAACACUUAAACAGCACUUUUCUAAACAACGAUAAAAAGGCAACCCUCACAACACUCAACAUGUGAUUAGACCGACGUGGGACUAUUUGGAGAUUUGUGUGUGUGUGUACAGUUGUUUACAAAAGUACAGUUCAAUUCAAACUACUAGACGUAAGAAAGUAUACAACAUACGCACACACACACACAAACACACAAACACGAAUACAGCAUACACAAACAAUUGCAAGGGCAACAACAAACUACAUUAAAACACAAAAAAGAGAGUGAAAAAUAUAUACCAAACCAAUGUUUGCAAAUCUAUAAUUUUACAAGUACGAUAUAAAGAAAACAAAACAUAACGAAACAGAAAGAAAGAAAAUAGCGACAGGCAAUAGCUGCUAUAAACGAAGCGAGGGGAAAAACAAGAGAAGCAACUACAAUGUGCUAAGCUGUUUUAAAAUGAAUUAAAUAUAUAUACACACACACACAUAUAUAUCUGCAUAUUGCGAAAUGAGGCCCCAAAUUUGGGUAACGAGAUGACUCAGUAAUAGUCAAAUUAUGUGCACGGAAAGGAGGCAUGCACGGAAUCGCAGCAUAAGCGGAAACAAUUGAACCAUGAAAUCCAAAAAAAAACGAAAUUAAAAAACAAACAAACCAAACCAAAACAGCAAAAACAACAACAACAACAAAUCAACCAUAAACUACUACAGUUGUAUUGACACGAAAAUAUCAAUAAAACAUGAUGAUUAACAAGCAA